GACGAACGCUGGCGGCGUGCUUAACACAUGCAAGUCGAACGAAGAGCGAUGGACGCUUGCUUCUAUCAAUCUUAGUGGCGCACGGGUGAGUAACGCGUAUUCAACCUGCCCUUCAGAGGGGGACAACAGUUGGAAACGACUGCUAAUACCGCAUACGAUCUGACCUCGGCAUCGAGGAUAGAUGAAAGGUGGCCUCUAUUUAUAAGCUAUCACUGAAGGAGGGGAUUGCGUCUGAUUAGCUAGUUGGAGGGGUAACGGCCCACCAAGGCGAUGAUCAGUAGCCGGUCUGAGAGGAUGAACGGCCACAUUGGGACUGAGACACGGCCCAGACUCCUACGGGAGGCAGCAGUGGGGAAUCUUCCGCAAUGGACGAAAGUCUGACGGAGCAACGCCGCGUGAGUGAUGACGGCCGUCGGGUUGUAAAGCUCUGUUAAUCGGGACGAAAGGCCUUCUUGCGAAUAGUUAGAAGGAUUGACGGUACCGGAAUAGAAAGCCACGGCUAACUACGUG
This 510-nucleotide ribosomal RNA is filed under the name uncultured bacterium. RNAcentral's name for it is "partial 16S ribosomal RNA". It matches the Rfam family "Bacterial small subunit ribosomal RNA", at positions 28 to 507 of the family's 1533-position model. The record is from RNAcentral.